GUCGGUGAUCUUCAGGGUCUUGUUGCUGAGGUCUUCCAUCUCGACCCUCUCCAGGAUGAGGACUGGAGCGGGAGGUGAUGGAGGGGAGGUUUUGGUUGGAGGAUGAGGAGGAUGGGAGGGUGGGAGUCGUGCAGAUUGGCGAGUGGGUUAAAGUAAAAGGUUUCGGGUGAUAAUCGUCGUCGGGAUUUGAGAUGUCGGGAGAGCAGCAGGAGUUUCAACGCAACACAAAGCAAAUUGGACAAAUGAUGGGUGAACGAAACAAAACAGGGUGCGGUUGGUGGAAGGAUGAAAGAGAGAGAGAGAGAACAGAGAAACCAAGAAACGCUCCACAAUGCCAGGCCAUCUGCUGCCGGCCGAGCCCAGCCGAGAGGGUGUGUCUGCAGGCUGCGGUGCACAUCAAGCGCCCCCUUCAUCUCAGCCACUUUCCAAAAAGAACCAAGCACGUGGCUAAAGUGCAUCUCGCUCCUGUGCAACAUGAAACAAACACAGCUGGUUCCCCCUCGAGGCCGAUCGCGCUGCAAAUGCAUGCGCUCGCUUUAAUGCACCGUCCUUCAGAUAAGAGCUUGUUGAGUUAAAAAAGAGGCAGUGGAAGGAGCUGGAAAUGAACAGCAAACCCUCCCCCUGUGGAUAAACUGGUUUGGAUUUAGAAACGGUAAAUUACCAGGUGGGUUCCAAAUAAAAAUUUUAAAUAGCACAAAUUACAUGAUUUGCAAGUUCUGGUCAGCAAAAGACGACGUAUGAUGGUAAAGAUUGACAGAUGAUGAUGAUUAAACUGAUUUUAGUUUAACCCUCUGAAACCCAAAAUCUGACACCUAGUUUGAAAGGCUUGUUUUAAAAAGAAGCUAAAAUUACAGCAUUUAUCAGAGGCAGAAACUCUGGAAACAGAACUUUCCAACAGUCCUUGAACUCAUCAUCUGUGAUGUGCAAUCAGAAAACCAAAUCCAAGCUUAACAUCAUCUUCAAAAUGGCUUUAUUCCACUUUAAAAAAUGCCAAUCUACGAUGACAUUAAUGACUCAGCUCCGACAAACAGCCAGGUGACAAAAAUUCAGGAACUAUUGGGCUGAACUGCAUGCAGUGUUUACACACAAUGGAUAGGAAACAAGUAAAGAAACAAGUUUUAAAAAGUAAAAUUUGCAGUCUCCAUUUGUAAAUAAAUAAUUCUGGAAGUCCAACUUUCAUUUUUUAAAAAAUAUAAUUUAUGGCAUUAUAACAUUGUUAAAAUGUAGAUAUUUAUGACUUCUGUCUACUUCUAGUCAUAGAUGUUCUGUUUUCAUAGAGGUGUGAGAUUUUAUACUGCAGUGAAAAGUGAAAUCGCAGUGAGAAAAAAAUGUAACAGGAGAAAAAAUAACAGCUAGAAACUACCGUAGUUUAGAGGAUUUAACAUUUUUGAAGUUCUGUUCCAGUAGAGUACAGUGAAUACCACAUAUGGUCCACUGUUUGUCAUCAUUCCUGUACAGGCCUGGUUCUGUAAAAGAGAAAUAAAGUGUCUCUGAUUGAUCAA
Long non-coding RNA from Acanthochromis polyacanthus (spiny chromis), 1502 nucleotides. RefSeq lists it as uncharacterized. The record is from RefSeq and is a predicted model, not a curated record. The transcript is spliced from 2 exons. Lineage: Eukaryota; Metazoa; Chordata; Actinopteri; Pomacentridae.